GGCUCAGGAUGAACGCUAGCUACAGGCUUAACACAUGCAAGUCGAGGGGCAUCAGGAAGAAAGCUUGCUUUCUUUGCUGGCGACCGGCGCACGGGUGAGUAACACGUAUCCAACCUGCCCUUUACUCGGGGAUAGCCUUUCGAAAGAAAGAUUAAUACCCGAUAGCAUAAUGAUUCCGCAUGGUUUCAUUAUUAAAGGAUUCCGGUAAAGGAUGGGGAUGCGUUCCAUUAGGUUGUUGGUGAGGUAACGGCCCACCAAGCCUUCGAUGGAUAGGGGUUCUGAGAGGAAGGUCCCCCACAUUGGAACUGAGACACGGUCCAAACUCCUACGGGAGGCAGCAGUGAGGAAUAUUGGUCAAUGGGCGCUAGCCUGAACCAGCCAAGUAGCGUGAAGGAUGAAGGCUCUAUGGGUCGUAAACUUCUUUUAUAUAAGAAUAAAGUGCAGUAUGUAUACUGUUUUGUAUGUAUUAUAUGAAUAAGGAUCGGCUAACUCCGUGCCAGCAGCCGCGGUAAUACGGAGGAUCCGAGCGUUAUCCGGAUUUAUUGGGUUUAAAGGGAGCGUAGGUGGACUGGUAAGUCAGUUGUGAAAGUUUGCGGCUCAACCGUAAAAUUGCAGUUGAUACUGUCAGUCUUGAGUACAGUAGAGGUGGGCGGAAUUCGUGGUGUAGCGGUGAAAUGCUUAGAUAUCACGAAGAACUCCGAUUGCGAAGGCAGCUCACUGGACUGCAACUGACACUGAUGCUCGAAAGUGUGGGUAUCAAACAGGAUUAGAUACCCUGGUAGUCCACACAGUAAACGAUGAAUACUCGCUGUUUGCGAUAUACAGUAAGCGGCCAAGCGAAAGCAUUAAGUAUUCCACCUGGGGAGUACGCCGGCAACGGUGAAACUCAAAGGAAUUGACGGGGGCCCGCACAAGCGGAGGAACAUGUGGUUUAAUUCGAUGAUACGCGAGGAACCUUACCCGGGCUUAAAUUGCAGUGGAAUGAUGUGGAAACAUGUCAGUGAGCAAUCACCGCUGUGAAGGUGCUGCAUGGUUGUCGUCAGCUCGUGCCGUGAGGUGUCGGCUUAAGUGCCAUAACGAGCGCAACCCUUAUCUUUAGUUACUAACAGGUUAUGCUGAGGACUCUAGAGAGACUGCCGUCGUAAGAUGUGAGGAAGGUGGGGAUGACGUCAAAUCAGCACGGCCCUUACGUCCGGGGCUACACACGUGUUACAAUGGGGGGUACAGAAGGCAGCUAGCGGGUGACCGUAUGCUAAUCCCAAAAUCCUCUCUCAGUUCGGAUCGAAGUCUGCAACCCGACUUCGUGAAGCUGGAUUCGUUAGUAAUCGCGCAUCAGCCACGGCGCGGUGAAUACGUUCCCGGGCCUUGUACACACCGCCCGUCAAGCCAUGGGAGCCGGGGGUACCUGAAGUACGUAACCGCAAGGAUCGUCCUAGGGUAAAACU
This 1445-nucleotide ribosomal RNA is filed under the name uncultured organism. RNAcentral describes it as "SSU rRNA". It matches the Rfam family "Bacterial small subunit ribosomal RNA". The record is from RNAcentral.